CCUACGGAGGGCAGCAGUGGGGGAUAUUGGGCAAUGGGCGCAAGCCUGACGCAGCAACGCCGCGUGAAGGAAGAAGGAUUUCGGGAUGUAAACUUCUUUUGUCAGGGAAGAGUAGAAGACGGUACCUGACGAAUAAGCAACGGCUAACUACGUGCCAGCAGCCGCGGUAAUACGUAGGUGGCAAGCGUUGUCCGGAUUUACUGGGUGUAAAGGGAGUGUAGGCGGGUUGACAAGUCAGAUGUGAAAUCCUGCGGCUUAACCGCAGAACUGCAUUGGAAACUGUUGGUCUUGAGUACUGGAGAGGCAGACGGAAUUCCUAGUGUAGCGGUGAAAUGCGUAGAUAUUAGGAGGAACACCAGUGGCGAAGGCGGUCUGCUGGACAGCAACUGACGGUGAGGCGCGAAAGCGUGGGGAGCAAACAGGAUUAGAUACCCGUGUAGUC
RNAcentral lists this ribosomal RNA (442 nucleotides) under uncultured bacterium. RNAcentral's name for it is "partial 16S ribosomal RNA". It matches the Rfam family "Bacterial small subunit ribosomal RNA", at positions 338 to 795 of the family's 1533-position model. The record is from RNAcentral.